Molecule: long non-coding RNA, 3973 nt
Organism: Panicum virgatum (switchgrass)
Lineage: Eukaryota; Viridiplantae; Streptophyta; Magnoliopsida; Poales; Poaceae
Exons: 2
Source: RefSeq, a predicted model, not a curated record
AAGUGUAAUAAUAGAAAAAAACACACCUCAAGAGCAAGAAAACACAUUUCUCAAUCCAAGACAAAAGAUGUCGACCAAUCAGGCGCAGGCACACGGAUUGCAGGGCCCAAAAACACAUGCAACCGACUUAGUACAGCGUGGAGGCAUGCAUAACUGACCUAAACCUACCAAGCAACUUCCUAGAAAAAAUUGGGCCGGUUCGGUGUCAGAACCUAGUCGGCCGACCACCUCGGUCGGCUGACCAGUGGGUGGCACAACCAACCUUCAGUCUUCGACGUGACAGCUCCUCAUUUGCUCACAAUGUCUAUUUUAGGUGACUCCACCACAUUCCCGAGCCGAAAGUACCAUGUACCCCCUCUAUAAAUAUGAGGGGAGGGACUCCAAAUGAGACACAUCCAUCAAGUGAUCAACCCCCUCAAGAGAGGCUUAGAGCCUUGCUUAGUUAGUGAUCUGGAAUAGGGAGAGGGUAGAGGUACUCAGGAGGGGCGUCGGACUUCGGCGCUCUUCUCCAAUUUGUACCUCUAUGAGAGUGAGGGAGUAGUUCGUGAGAAGUGUUGGGGCGGGCAUUCUUCUCUGAGUUUGUACCUCUAUGGAUGUUGCUACAUUCUUCAGUGCUCAGUAAGCAUUCGUGGUUCCUAUCUCUAGUAUUUUACUUGGUAUAGUAGAUGCAAGUAGUACUUGAAGUUGAGUGAGAUCAGUUCUCUUACUCACGGGUUCGUCGCUUCGUAUUUAUAUGGAGUGCUGUAGUUUGGUACGGGUCGACAUACGUUGUUAGAUUACAGUAGUAAUCAAUAACGUAGACAUGGUGUCUAGGCUAAGGGUUAUCCUUCGUUUGCCUUAUAUUCUACAACUUUUUAGAGAUAGGCCAUAUGUUGUGACAAUCUUAUUGGUUCUUUGUAAUCCUCCACGUUCGGAUAUAGAGUAGAGCUGUUGGCCGUAGUUGCCUGGCAGACCAAGUGUAAGCUGAUACCCGAAGCAAGUAUUGUGCCCGAGAGAUCGACCUUUAACUCAGCUAUAGUGCUAUCUUAGGAAUCCUCUCUACCCUUCUACCUAUCUUGGUGUGUCAUUGGAUCGAAUAGAAUAGAAGUUAGUGCACACACGUUCACAGUGGAUUCGAUAACUCUUGGAAUACUCUGAGGUGAAAACUACAACAGUAUCCGUGCGCUUGCGGAUUUAUUCGUGAUGCUAAAAUACCCAACAGUAUCUCGUCUUUAAUUCCUUGUGCUGUCCAUCUGGAUCCACUAAUCUUGCUCCUUCAACUCGUCUUUGCCAUUCGAGUCCACAAAACCUUUGCCAAACAGUAUCUUUUCCUCUAUGGUCGUCCACCUCUUUUGGACAAUCACUUUCUAGUCGUUGUCAAUACGACUCUCCCUUUCGGUCCUGUAGCCUAAGACUGCUACUGUAGUUUUGGUUGUCAUGGAUUUAUGUGGCCUAGACUUGUCCAGAUGUGUGGCUCUGACCCCGUCUGGAUCUAUGCGGCGAUGGCUCAUCCGUUUGCACCUUGCUGCUCUUUAUCACCUCCUCCGUGAGUUCGCGACUCUUUGACUAAGGCACGUUCAUCGUCACGACUCUCUACCUUUGUGCUUCUCUUCUUGGCAAGGUUUCAAGACUCGCAUGCCAUUGCAACAUAUUGGAGACUUGGAUUUGGAUGUUUUCAAUUAUCUUAGUGUUGUAAUGUGUCUAAGUCUAGUGUUUAGUGUUCUCUCUCUUCCAAAUGAAAUGCAAUUGUAUAUGCUUUGCAUUUGAGGGGGUGUUAAGGGUAUUAUUGUCAUUGUACUCUAGUAUAGGGUUUAGGCUCUCAUGUACUAUAUAUACCCCAUUUGGGGAUGUUGAAUAUAUAUCUUCAUUCAGCCAUCUUCCUCCUUUCCCCUUCCAUCUAACAUAGAACACAUUUAUCAGAAGCGUGUGUGUGUGUGCGCGCGCGCGUGUGUGUGUACAUAUCAGAAUGGCAUAGUCAAUUUGAACUCUUAUCAGCUCAUCAGAUAAAUCAUCUGUUCUAUCGACAUGACAAUUUGAAUACAGUAUUGACCUUAAUAUGCCAAAGAAUAAACCAUAUUUCCUUUGUGCAGUUUGACUGCUGAAUGCCGACAAAAAAAAGUCCUACUUUUCUAUUUUUUUCAGAAAUAAAUAUAUUUGGGGAAGAGAUAUUCAACAUGAACCUAUGAAGGAUAAGAUGAUUUGUUCCCAACCACUCGCCAUAAAGGAGAUACACUUUUCAAAUCCUGAGCAGACUACAAUACUGUUCUUAAGCCAUUUCCAUCGGUGCGGAUCGAACAUGUGCUAAAUAUUGUGGUACUGGAAGAGUUGAUAAGAAUAUGGAUAUCCACAGCUGCAGAAUCUGUUCACAAGUUAUGGUCUGCCACCUUAUCAAUGAAGAUUCUAAUUCUGAUCGAGCUAAACUAACAGAUAUAAAUCUGAAUAAACCCGGGCGCCUGGUAACUUGGUUCUACACAAUUCACAUUCCUCAGUAUUUUAACCUUCAUAUAGUUGGUCUAGAUAAAUCUGAAGCAUACUUGCAGAAAGCCAUGUGUGCCAGCCAACAAGUGAAGCUAAAUUCUAACCAUACCUUUGGGCUUUGGCCGUCACUUGCUCGCCAGUGUCUAUGCUCCAUGUGAUGCAAUGAACCAACUUGGUUCUUCUUUUGCCAGCAACUUUUGUCUUUUACAAUAAUAUAUCAUGUUUUCAGCAUAUUUUGACAGUAAUAUACUGAAGAAUAAACUAUAUUUAUUCUAUUCUUGAUAACAUCGAGUAUCUAUUUAGUUCUGCAGUGAUAAGAAAUACCGGAAAUUAUGGGCGUGCCACGAAAGUGGAAGGAAACAUACAAGCAGGCAGGCAUGACAAGUAAUUCCUGAUUCGAGAAUUAUCGAAGUGAUAAGAUAUUCUGCAAUAAUGGGCAACAAUUUGGGGUGCCAGUUAUUACUACUUUUUUCAGUCCUGUUUAGUCCUGUGUAUUUGAGAGAAUCUCACAAAUAUACUUCCGGACAAUAAGGCAUGCUGUUUCACAUUUCCAUCUCGGGUGAACCUUGGACAAAAUUUGUAGACUUGAGUGGACCUUAAAAAUGCAUGCAUGAGAGGCAACAGAUGUAAUGCAAAAUGAAUUCAGCAUAAGGCCAAGAUCUAGAAUUAGUUCUCUUUUAGGGAGGAGAUCACCGAUCAGCAGCGAUGGUCUGAUCCAAAAUUCCAAAUUAUAUGACUGCAUCCAGAUAACGUGACUGACAGGUCGAUUUCAUGGUUCAUGGCAGCCAAGUCACUAAGACAACACUGGAUCUUUGGGUGCGCAUCCUUGACUUCUGAACUGGACAUUUUGUUUAAUAUACGAGGAAAUGAGGUAGGUCAGAAACAAAAUUGAUAAGGAGAGAGACAAAAAUAAAGCAGCAACAACAAAAAAAAGAGAGCAGGAGAGGCUCUUCCUCGUCAUGGAGUUCGUCGGCCCCAGCAGCCUCCGCAGCGUCCUCAUCUCGGUGCGGGACGAGAUCGUCUACUAUGCCGACCCGGAGGUGUUCAAGAGCCUGCUGGAACCGCUGUCGGCCCAAGGUCCUGUGUGGUUUGCUGCCUGAGCUAUGACCAGAGGCUCACCCCGGCGGAGGCGCUCAGGCAGCGCUGGUUCACGGAGGACGCUGCUGAAGCCGCAGACGAGAAAAGGAGUAGCAAUGCAGCAUAACAUUCUGUUCUGGUUCUUCUUUUUUUUUUCAAAUAUGCAAGAUUUACAAAUCUCUUUCGUUCUACUACAAGUUUGGUUAUGCUGCACAUAUGAGAAAGAAGAUUUCUCACAUGUACUAGAGUGGGAUCCGGUUUGAUCAUCUGCUACCCUUUUGAUUACAUGCACAAGUACAAGUGGAGUAUGGCAAGAGCUCAUGCACAAGGGAAAAAGUUCACGUUUACUAGUAUAAUGAUGAAACCUUCGAUUUGCCGCUCUUCUUGCUGCAGUUUAUGAUUUCCUUUCCGACCAACAUGCAUGUCAGUAUUUGCAACA